GUUUGAUCCUGGCUCAGGACGAACGCUGGCGGCGUGCUUAACACAUGCAAGUCGAACGGUGAUGUCAGAGCUUGCUCUGGCGGAUCAGUGGCGAACGGGUGAGUAACACGUGAGUAACCUGCCCCCGACUCUGGGAUAACUGCUAGAAAUGGUAGCUAAUACCGGAUAUGACGAUUGGCCGCAUGGUCUGGUCGUGGAAAGAAUUUCGGUUGGGGAUGGACUCGCGGCCUAUCAGGUUGUUGGUGAGGUAAUGGCUCACCAAGCCUACGACGGGUAGCCGGCCUGAGAGGGUGACCGGCCACACUGGGACUGAGACACGGCCCAGACUCCUACGGGAGGCAGCAGUGGGGAAUAUUGCACAAUGGGCGAAAGCCUGAUGCAGCAACGCCGCGUGAGGGAUGACGGCCUUCGGGUUGUAAACCUCUUUUAGUAGGGAAGAAGCGAAAGUG
RNAcentral lists this ribosomal RNA (449 nucleotides) under Clavibacter sepedonicus. RNAcentral's name for it is "bacterial SSU rRNA". It matches the Rfam family "Bacterial small subunit ribosomal RNA", at positions 11 to 458 of the family's 1533-position model. The record is from RNAcentral. Lineage: Bacteria; Bacillati; Actinomycetota; Actinomycetes; Micrococcales; Microbacteriaceae.